This 3045-nucleotide long non-coding RNA is filed under the name Homo sapiens (human). RNAcentral describes it as "long non-coding RNA NONHSAT211971.1". Lineage: Eukaryota; Metazoa; Chordata; Mammalia; Primates; Hominidae. The record is from RNAcentral.
CUUUCCUACUCCAAAGUUAUUUAAACAUUUACACAUAUUUUAGUAUACAUUUAAUUCUAAACCAUUCUAUAUUUUAUAGAUGUUUGUUUUGAGAUAUGGAUCCAACUUUACACUUUUUUUUUAAUCUUUAUCUUCUGUUUACAAGUCCUACACUUGUAUCAUUAUAAACUAGGCAUCUGACAUUAUGUGUGUGUGUUUUAAAAAUAAUUUUAUUUUCAAUUCCUAGAAAAUGUGUACCACAUAAAAUUUGUCAGGCAGAACUUUAAUUUAAUUGUCCCCUUUUCAGAGUUUUCUAUUCCUGUUUAUUUUUCCAUGUGACUUUCAGAAUCAUUUAGAUUAUUUUCUCAAGUAUUCUGUUAGGAUUUUGGUUGGAAACAUAUUAAAUGUUUUUUACUUAGGGGAUCUUUCCAUUGAGAGCUUAGUAGAAUUGUUUUUUUACAUGUUCUCCAUUAAGAGUUCGAACUGUUUUUUUUUUUUUUUUGAGACAAGAGUUUUACUCUGCCGCCCAGGCUGGAAUGUGGUGGUGUAAUCUCAGCUCAUUGCAGCCUCUGCCUCCCAGGUUCAAGAUUCUCCUUUCUCAGCCUCCCAAGUGGCUGGGAUACAGGCCCCUGCCACCACACAUGACUAAUUUUUGUAUUUUUAGUAGAGACGGGGCUUUAUCAUGUUGGCCAGGCUGGUAAGGGUUCCAAAAUUUUCUUCAUGUUCUUUUUUUAAGUUUCCAAAAAUAUUUUUGUUGCUUUUAGAUAUGGACUCCUCGUAUUAUAAUAUUUUUAACUAGUCACCACUUAUAUUGUAAAGCUGAUUCUUAAUUGUUGUUGUUAAACUGGCCACAUAACUUUUAUUAUCAUUUUUAAUAGUUUUCAGUGAAUAAGUAUAAUGGCAUUCUUGUUUCUGAUUUUACUGAUGUCUGAUUUUUAGUGUUUCAGUCGUGUAAUUUAUAGGUUAAAAAUAGAAUAUUAUGUUUAAGAAGAAUCUUUUUUCAUGAAGCCUGCUUAUUAGGAUCAGCUGUUAAAGGUUUUUUUCAAAUGACAUUAUAUGCAAUUGCUCUUUUGACCUUUUGAUGACAGAAUAGAAUGUAAUAACCAUUAAUUUAAAAUGCUGUUAUAUUCUAAUUCCUAGCCAUGUAUUUAGGACUUUGUAUCUAUGUUUUGUAUCUGUGUUAAUUUUGAUUAACAGGUUAUGACAGAUUGGCAGAAUAAGCUGGAAAACUAAUGUUUUAUUUAGAAUAUAGAUCCUGCUGGGUGCCGUGGCUCACGUCUCUAAACCCAACACUUGGGAGACUGAGGCGGGUGGAUCGUUUGAGCUCAGGAGUUCAAGACCAGCCUGGGCAACAUAGUGAAACCUCGUUACCACCAAAAAUACAAAAAACUUAGCUGGGCAUGGUGGCGCAUGCCUAUAAUCCCAGCUACUCGGGAGACUCAAGCAAGAGAAUUACUUGAACCUGGGAGGCAGAGGUUGCAGUGAGCUGAGAUCAUGCCACUGCACUCCAGCCUGGGUGACAGAGCAAGACUGUCUCAAAAAUAAUAAUAGUAAAAAAAGCGAUGUUUUAGUUAUCUUAACUAUUGUAAUUAUUUCUAAAAUGUUAUCCAGCAAACAUACUUGGGGUAGAAUGUUAGACAUUUAUUUUAAGAUGAGGAAUAGACAAGGAUGUCCAUUAUUAGUUACUGUUCAGGUUGUCAGCAUUUUUGAGGGAUGGAGGAAGGUAGAGAAGGGUUUGAAAAGGCAUAAUUUUAUUUAUUUAUUUAUUUAUUUAUUUAUUUAUUUAUUUGUUUGUUUGUUUGUUUGUUUGAGACAGGGUUUUGCUCUGUCACCCAGGCUGGAGUGCAGUGGUGUGAUCAUAGCUCACUGCAGCCUUGAAAUCUUGGGCUCAAGUCAUUCUACCGCCUCAGCCUCCCAAACAGCCGGGACUUACAGGCACAUGUCACUAUGCCCGGCUAAUUUUUAAUUUUAUUCUUAGAGACAGAGUCUUGCUAUAUUGCCCAGGCUGGUCUCAAACUCCUGGCUUCAAGCGAUCCUCCCAAAGUGGGAGGCCACAGUGGGAAGAUUACAGGUGUGAGCAACUGUACCCAAACAGAAAAAAUUAUUAAUGGCAGACUUAAGUGAUUGUCUAUGUAAAGCACACAAGAUAAACUAUUAUUAGCAUUGAUAGAUUUGUGUGAAUUGCUAGUAACUUUUACAGUAGUCUCCCCUUAUCUGUGGGUAUGUGAUCCAAGACUCACCACUUAGUGCCUGAAACUGCAGAUAGUACCGAACCCUGCAUAAUACUGUUUUUACAAUCUGAUAACCGAGGCAGCUACAAGUGACUAAUGGGCAGGUAGCAUCUACAGCAGGUAGAGCCAGGAUGGUGUGAGAUUUUAUUAUGCUACUCAGAACUGCUCACAAAUUAAAACUCAUUAAUUGUUUCUGGAAUUUUCCAUUUAAUAUUUUCAGACUGCAGUUGACCUCUGAUAACUGGGGUAAGCAAAACUAUGGAUAAAGUGGAACUACUGUGUGUAGAAGAAGAGGCCAUGAAUAGCUAAGGUAAUUUCAAAGAACAAGAUUUUGGAUUUGUUCUACCAGAUAUAAAGAUUCCUGGGACAAAUGAUUAUCUACAAGAAGAAAUAGGAAGAGGCAAAUUUUGAAAAAAAAAUAACACAUUUUCAUAGAUCUGAAUGGGAAAACUUUAAAAUACUGAGAAAGAACAAAUACACUUUGACUAGCAACUCCACUUCUGGACAUAUAUAUAUUUAGCUUAUUUCUGUCUGUAUAAUUUUAUAUAUAAUUAUAAAGUGAAAAAAGGUAAAUAUCUUAAAUAUUCAUUUGUAGGAGAACAGUUAAAUAAUAUGGAUAAAAGUAUAGAAUGACUCCAUUGUAUUAAAUAAGUAUUUCUAUAUAGUGCAUAGAGUAUUUGAAAACUGAAACUGAUUGUGGGUUAUAAUAGAGCAGAUUGUUUUAAAAAGAGACUUGUGAGCCAAGACUAAAUCCUGGUUUUACUAUUUAUUAAUCUGUAUAGCUAUAGCCAAGCUAUUAAAACUCCCUUAUUUCUCAGUUUUUUCGUUCAUGAAG